This is a long non-coding RNA of Solanum pennellii, 1557 nucleotides long. RefSeq lists it as uncharacterized. NCBI's taxonomy places the organism in Eukaryota, Viridiplantae, Streptophyta, Magnoliopsida, Solanales, Solanaceae. The transcript has 6 exons. The record is from RefSeq and is a predicted model, not a curated record.
AUUUUAACUCUCCCUCCUAUUUUUAUUGGCCAAAAAAAUAAACAUUAAAAAUAAUAAAUCAAAAAGACUUUCAUUUUCUGAAGAUCGAGCUUUCCCUUUCCCUUUCCAUUUCAUUUGCUGAAGAUCGAGCUUUUCCUUUCCCUUUUCCUUUCCCUUUCAUUUCCUGAAGAUCGAGCUUUUCCUUCAAGUCACGCUUCCCUUUCCUUCUCCGAGCAGAAGAACUCACAAUUUCUCUUUUCUGAGCUGAAGUCGAACUGAAGAUCGACUGAAGAUCGAGCUGCAGAACUCAUCGAGCUGACUGAGCUUUCUCUUCUCCGAGCUGAAGAAUUCGUCAAGAAGGAAUUGAUUGGGGUUGUUGGCAAGAUGAACUGAAGUUAAGUCUCUCCGUCACACUUUUCUCUCAGAUUUCUCGUUGCAGAACUUGAUUUCAGACAGAUUUAGGGUAUACCGAUAUAAUUAACAUUGAGAAACAUUUUUGGAGGAUUCAAGGUUUGAUUUUGCAUAGCACAAGAGCCAUGAAUAGGUAAUUAAUAUGGAUAUCUUCUAGGAAUUCAAAUAUCCCAUCGAAGGAUUGGAUGAAUUUAGCAAGGUUAUACUAGAUGGAUCAAUCACGAGGAAUGGUAUAUCAAGUUGAAUGUUGAAGAUAAUAUGGAAUGCUCGCGUGAUGAUAUUGAUGGGUUGUUGAAUGAUCAAUUUAGAGAUUUUGCACAGGCCGAGGGAGCUUAUGAUGGUCCAAAAUGCCAAAAAAUAUUAUAACUUAGUUGAAGAGGCAAGACAAGAAUUAUAUCCACGUUGUACAGGAUUCUCUAAAUUAUCAUUCACACUUCAUUUAUAUUUGUUGAAGUCUCUACAUGGAUGGAGCAAUGACUCAUUCACUUCUCCUUUAGAGUUACUAAAAUAGGCGAUGCCCGAGUUGAACAUUCCUUCGUCUUACAAUAAAACCAAGUCUAUGGUUAAGAAUCUCGGUCUUGAUUAUGAGAAAAUUGAUGCAUGUCCAAAUGAUUGCAUGUUGUUUAGGAAUGAUCAUAAAGAUGAUGAGUUUUGUCAUACAUGCGGAGCUUCACGAUAUAUUAAAAAUCCUGAAGUUGAUUGUGAGGAUUCUUUGAGGUGGCAUGAUGAGGAGCGUUCUAAAGAUGGAAAGUCAAUACAUCCUGCUGAUGGUCUAGCAUGGAAAGAUUUUUAUAGGAUGCAUUCAGAUUUUGCACUAGAUUUUCGCAAUGUGAGACUUGGAUUAGCAACUGAUGGGUUCAAUCCAUUUCGAACCAUGAGUAUAUCUCAUAGUACAUGGCCAGCUAUGUUGAUGGCGUAUAAUCUGCCUCCUUGGAUGUGCAUGAAAUAUGAAUAUUCUAUACUUUCUUUACUUAUACCUGGGCCACGAUCACCUGGCAAUGACAUUGAUAUUUUCUUACAACCAUUGAUAGAUUAGUUAAAAUUGUUGUGGGAUUCUGGGGUUGAAACAUAUGAUGCUUCAAGAAAUCAAACUUUUCAAAUGGGAGCAGCUCUUACGUGGACAAUCAAUGACUUUCGUGCAUAUUCUAUGUUGUCUGGAUAGAGUAC